UACGAAGGGGGCUAGCGUUGUUCGGAAUUACUGGGCGUAAAGCGCACGUAGGCGGAUAUUUAAGUUAGGGGUGAAAUCCCAGGGCUCAACCCUGGAACUGCCUCUAAUACUGGGUAUCUCGAGUCCGAGAGAGGUGAGUGGAAUUCCGAGUGUAGAGGUGAAAUUCGUAGAUAUUCGGAGGAACACCAGUGGCGAAGGCGGCUCACUGGCUCGGUACUGACGCUGAGGUGCGAAAGCGUGGGGAGCAAAC
RNAcentral lists this ribosomal RNA (250 nucleotides) under uncultured bacterium. Its description in RNAcentral is "partial 16S ribosomal RNA". It matches the Rfam family "Bacterial small subunit ribosomal RNA", at positions 524 to 773 of the family's 1533-position model. The record is from RNAcentral.